This 1030-nucleotide ribosomal RNA is filed under the name Spiroplectammina sp. RNAcentral describes it as "bacterial SSU rRNA". It matches the Rfam family "Eukaryotic small subunit ribosomal RNA", at positions 1160 to 1800 of the family's 1831-position model. The record is from RNAcentral. Lineage: Eukaryota; Foraminifera; Textulariida; Sproplectamminidae.
AAGGGCACCACAAGAACGCGUGGAGCAUGUGGCUUAAUUUGACUCAACGCGGGAAAUCUUACCGGGUCCGGACACACUGAGGAUUGACAGGCAAUAUUAAAUUAAAUAUUAAUUACUUCGGUUUUUAAUUAUUUAAUUUAUGUUAAAUAUGCUAGUCCUUUCAUGAUUAUGUGAUAGGUGGUGCAUGGCCGUUCUUAGUUCGUGGAGUGAUCUGUCUGCUUAAUUGCGUUUCACUAAGGGCUUAUAAAUUUACGUGUGUUGUAAGUACUUUGACCCCUACAUUGAAAUAUAUGUAGUGCGUGUCUUUGUUUGCUUUACUCACACAAUUAAGUCCUGAAAGCAACGAACGUGACCGCAACCUCUUGUUGCCUUUAUCCAAAACGGCGUUAUUUUAAAUUUAUUUAAGAUUAACGUUAAAAAGAGGCUUUUAAACUAGAGGGACCGCUGUAAUCUUUUUAAACCAGAGGAAGGUUGCGGCAAUAACAGGUCUGUGAUGCCCUUAGAUGUUCCGGGCUGCACACGUGCUACAAUGAUUAUGGCAGUGAGCAUCUCAUUUUUAUACACCGCAUGUACGAGUCCAGUUACUAGGUAUUGGUUUCGGCUGAUAUUUUAGCUAAUUGUGUUACUUUGUGCGCGGUAAAGCCUGCUUCGAAAGUAAGUGGGUAAUCAAUUAGAAGUAAUGAUUUCCCAAUUUAUAGCACACAUAUAUGUGGCGUCUUUACCCGGACUAAGCUUGUCUUAGUUUUUGUGUGUACUGAUGUUUUUUCCACAUGUGCAAUUGUCAAUUCAUGGUGGGGACAGACCAUUGUUAAUUGUUGGUCUCGGUCUUAACUAGGAAUGCCUUGUACGGGUCUUUGGUUCAACAAACCACCCGGAAUACGUCCCUGCCCUUUGUACACACCGCCCGUCGCUCUUACCGAUGGACUUCUCUGUGAGUUUGAGGGACUGGGUAUUAAGAAUUUAUUCUUUACCACCUAUGGAAACUUAAACGAACAGUGUGGUCUAAAGGAAAGAGAAGUCGUAACAAGGC